UANAANAUGCAAGUCGAGCGAAUCUUGAGGUGCUCGCACUUCUUGGUUAGCGGCGGACGGGUGAGUAACAUGUGGGCAACCUGCCUGUAAGACUGGGAUAACUUCGGGAAACCGGAGCUAAUACCGGAUAAUCCUUUUCUUCUCAUGAGGAAAAGCUGAAAGUCGGUNUACGCUGACACUUACAGAUGGGCCCGCGGCGCAUUAGUUAGUUGGUGAGGUAACGGCUCACCAAGGCGACGAUGCGUAGCCGACCUGAGAGGGUGAUCGGCCACACUGGGACUGAGACACGGCCCAGACUCNUACGGGAGGCAGCAGUAGGGAAUCUUCCGCAAUGGACGAAAGUCUGACGGAGCAACGCCGCGUGAGCGAUGAAGGCCUUCGGGUCGUAAAGCUCUGUUGUUAGGGAAGAACAAGUAUCGGAGUAACUGCCGGUACCUUGACGGUACCUAACCAGAAAGCCACGGCUAACUACGUGCCAGCAGCCGCGGUAAUACGUAGGUGGCAAGCGUUGUCCGGAAUUAUUGGGCGUAAAGCGCGCGCAGGCGGUCCUUUAAGUCUGAUGUGAAAGCCCACGGCUCAACCGUGGAGGGUCAUUGGAAACUGGGGGACUUGAGUACAGAAGAGGAAAGCGGAAUUCCACGUGUAGCGGUGAAAUGCGUAGAGAUGUGGAGGAACACCAGUGGCGAAGGCGGCUUUCUGGUCUGUAACUGACNCNNAGGCGGGCAAGCGUGGGA
Molecule: ribosomal RNA, 734 nt
Filed under: soil bacterium ic04
Lineage: Bacteria
Description: bacterial SSU rRNA
Rfam family: Bacterial small subunit ribosomal RNA
Source: RNAcentral